Small nucleolar RNA from Clarias gariepinus (North African catfish), 90 nucleotides. The record is from RefSeq and is a predicted model, not a curated record. Lineage: Eukaryota; Metazoa; Chordata; Actinopteri; Siluriformes; Clariidae.
UAGCUGUGAUAAGUUUGCCAUGCUAGUACCGAUGCGCCAGCCUCGCUGGGUGUAAGUGAGUUCAAAAGAACUUGUUGAACUUGAUGUUAU